UUUCCGUUGGUGAACCAGCGGAGGGAUCAUUAUCUAGUUUAUAACUCCCAAACUCUAUGUAAACUUACCACUUGUUGCAUCGGCGCGCGCCUCGGUGCAGCCGAGGACACUUAAACUCUUUGUUUUUAUAAGCAUUUCUGAGUGGCCGAAAAGCAAAAUACAAAGGAAUCAAAACUUUCAACAACGGAUCUCUUGGUUCUG
This 201-nucleotide unclassified non-coding RNA is filed under the name plant metagenome. Its description in RNAcentral is "partial contains small subunit ribosomal RNA, internal transcribed spacer 1, and 5.8S ribosomal RNA". The record is from RNAcentral.